UGUGUAACCUGUUGGAAGAAUGAAGUGGGUGUGUCACUCACCAAUUGGUCUGAAGGAGGUUGAGACAGGACCUCGGCACCUGGUGUCUGCAACAAAAGACAACAAUAUAACGUCAGAAACAUUCUCUAGUAUAAAUCCCGACUAUUUAAUUAACUACAGAUCAUAUUUGUAUCAGUGAAUAUUAUUACAGAAGGAUCUGACUUCCUUAUACCAGAUUCUAUAGAAACUUAACACUGUACGGUUCUGCUACCCAACGAUAUGAGGACAGUGUAACACACACUAGAGUUGUUGGUCCUACCACAUGAGGAAGGCAACUGAAACACACUCCUGUCCUUCACAGCUUAAAACAAUAUGAGGACAGUGUAACACACACUACAAUCACUGGUCCUACCAUAUGAGGACUUCUACUUUCCUGUUGGAGGUUGAGACACGACAGAGGGACAGCAGGGUAGUAGCUUGGACAAAUGAGUCUAUUGACACAACAGGGAAGUGAGAUUAAUGAACUGAACGCAACAGACUCUUUCAAAAUAAAACAGGAAACAUGGCAUGAAAAUACAAACGUGGUAAUAUACAGCCCUAACAUAAACUCCUUAAAACGAUAUUAAUAACGUUAAGCCAAACUCAACUAACCCGCCAUUAAACAUAAGAAACUCAAAAACCUUAGAAUAACAUCAGAAACGCUGGGCCAGAGAACCAGACCAUGAGCAAAUAACUAUAAUAUUAUUGAUUUGUGCUGAAUAAGAAAACAUUAAUAUUAUCAUUUAAAUCCCCCCAAGCAUAUCUUGUGUUGAAAAAAAAAAAGUGUGUUGCAGUUAGCUACACUGAGCUUAGACUGACUGUCUCUGCAGUUGAAGAUGCAGAGCACAUGCAAGGCCGCAGGUCCCUUUAACUCCGGUGGGAAUUUAAAAACAGUUAAAUUUAACUUCUAAUAUCUAUUGUUAAAGAUAAAUCUUAAGUAAUUUUUUAGCAUUUAUCAUCAUUCACCACUUUCAAUUUGUUCAAAUCGGUUGUGUAUUGUUUUAAUUCCGUUUAACUAACCUUAAUUAGCUUGUUAAACAUACAACUUUACCUCGCGGAGCUUGCGUCGACGCAUGGAUAUCAAAGGUAAAUACAUACCUCAAGAUAAAUCUCUCCUGAGUGCUGAAGGUCCCGGAUGUGCCGUUCAUGCAGAGCUCCGGCGAGUUUGUAUCUUGCCGUGACCAGCAGCUCUUUGGUUGACGCUUUCGAACAAUCAGAUGCAUCUUUACUCACUUGUUGACCAAUCAGAGACGUCGUUCUAUGCUCCACUGACGAAAUGCUGCAUCCUCUCACCAGCCACCGGUCUCUCCUCGUCCAUUUAACAACAAAAACACAGCAACACGUGCUGGAUUUGAGGUAGGAACACUUGAGAACUGUCACAAUGUUUUGCAAACUGUUGUUACAGUUAAUUUCGUUCCGUUAAUUUGUUUGGUUCCUAUUCUGAAGUAACACUUAAUACACAUGGGGUUAGCUUGCUGGUCUAGUUUAAGUUAGCAUGGGCAUGCUGUUCACUGAUAGAGUAAGGCUAAAAUUGUCCUGAUAUUGUCAGUGUGUUAUCAUAAACAUGCAGCACCCCUAGACCCCCAAGUUAAAAUACAGAUAAUAGAUAAGCAAUUUAAGAAAAUAAGUAUAAUGUGUAUAAUAAAUGAUUUUACUGUCACUUUCCUGGGUCUGUUGACCCAGCGUUUUAAGUUUUAGUUUGUUUAGAUGUCGAUGUUUAUUUAUAAGUUCUUUAGGUUUGCUAAGUUCAUUUGUUUAUUAGAUUACCCUUGUGAUGUCUGUUUUAUUGGGAAAGUCUUUGUCCUAUAUGCAGUGAGUCUAGUUUUGUUUCCCCUUGUCCCAGCUGUUCCUCAUCCCCUCAUUAUCUCUCUGUGUACUUGCAGUGGCUUGCAAAAGUAUUCGUCCCUCUUUUCCACAUUUUGUCACAUUACUGCCACA
Molecule: long non-coding RNA, 1956 nt
Organism: Astatotilapia calliptera (eastern happy)
Lineage: Eukaryota; Metazoa; Chordata; Actinopteri; Cichliformes; Cichlidae
Source: Ensembl